RNA transcript from Myotis lucifugus (little brown bat), 501 nucleotides. It is a transcript of the gene named 40S ribosomal protein S14 pseudogene, with no coding region annotated. Lineage: Eukaryota; Metazoa; Chordata; Mammalia; Chiroptera; Vespertilionidae. The transcript has a single exon. The record is from RefSeq and is a predicted model, not a curated record.
GCAGAAAUGACACCUUGCAAGGGGAAGGAAAAGAAGGAAGAACAGGUCAUCAGCCUCGGACCUCAGGUGGCUGAAGGAGAAAAUGUAUUUGGUGUCUGCCACAUCUAUGCAUCCUUCAAUGACACUUUCGUACAUGUCACUGAUGUUUCUGGCAAGGAUACCAUGUGCCGUGUGACUGGUGGGAUGAAGGUGAAGGCUGACCGAGAUGAAUCCUCUCCAUAUGCAGCCAUGUUGGCUGCCCAGGAUGUGGCCCAGAGGUGCGAGGAGCUGGGCAUCACUGCUCUUCACAUCAAACUCCGGGCCACAGGAGGAAAUAGGACCAAGACCCCUGGACCAGGGGCCCAGUCAGCUCUAAGAGCCCUUGCCCGCUCGGGAAUGAAGAUCGGAUGGAUUGAGGAUGUCACUCCCAUCCCCUCCGACAGCACCCGCAGAAAGGGGGGUUGCCAUGGUUGCCGUCAGUGAACAGGACUCCUCAAAUUAUUUUCUGUUAAUAAAUUGCCU